UGGGGAAUAUUGCACAAUGGGCGCAAGCCUGAUGCAGCCAUGCCGCGUGUGUGAAGAAGGCCUUCGGGUUGUAAAGCACUUUCAGCGAGGAGGAAGGUGGUGAGCUUAAUACGCUCAUCAAUUGACGUUACUCGCAGAAGAAGCACCGGCUAACUCCGUGCCAGCAGCCGCGGUAAUACGGAGGGUGCAAGCGUUAAUCGGAAUUACUGGGCGUAAAGCGCACGCAGGCGGUUUGUUAAGUCAGAUGUGAAAUCCCCGGGCUCAACCUGGGAACUGCAUUUGAAACUGGCAAGCUAGAGUCUCGUAGAGGGGGGCUAGAAUUCCAGGUGUAGCGGUGAAAUGCGUAGAGAUCUGGAGGAAUACCGGUGGCGAAGGCGGCCCCCCUGGACGAAGACUGACGCUCAGGUGCGAAAAGGCGUGGGGGCAGC
Molecule: ribosomal RNA, 428 nt
Filed under: uncultured bacterium
Lineage: Bacteria
Description: partial 16S ribosomal RNA
Rfam family: Bacterial small subunit ribosomal RNA
Source: RNAcentral